GAUAAACGCUGGCGGCGUGCCUAAUGCAUGCAAGUCGCACGGAGUGCCUCUUCGGGGGCGCUGAGUGGCGAACGGGUGAGGAACGCGUGGAGAACCUACCCCGGCGUGGGGGAGUACCCGCCAGAAAUGGUGGCUAAUACCGCGUACGGUCCAGGGGCGAGAGGCCAUCUGGAAGAAAGCAGUGAUGCGCGCUGGGAGGGGUCUGCGCCCGAUUAGCUAGUUGGCGGGGUAACGGCCCACCAAGGCGGUGAUCGGUAGCUGGUCUGAGAGGAUGAUCAGCCACACGGGGACUGAGACACGGCCCCGACUCCUACGGGAGGCAGCAGCAAGGAAUUUUCCGU
Molecule: ribosomal RNA, 341 nt
Filed under: uncultured bacterium
Lineage: Bacteria
Description: bacterial SSU rRNA
Rfam family: Bacterial small subunit ribosomal RNA
Source: RNAcentral